Malaclemys terrapin pileata is the source of this 1028-nucleotide long non-coding RNA. RefSeq lists it as uncharacterized. NCBI's taxonomy places the organism in Eukaryota, Metazoa, Chordata, Testudines, Emydidae. The record is from RefSeq and is a predicted model, not a curated record. The transcript is spliced from 2 exons.
CUGAACUCCCCUCUCGUUCAAGAGCUCCCAGAUCCUGCCUUCCAGGAAACAUUAUUGUUGUGGUGGGAGAGGUCACGGCUGGGUGAGGAGAUACCUGAGUGGGAUGGGCUGGAGCGAGACUGCGCUGCUGCUGCAUCUGUCCCACAGGGAAGAGGAUCAAACUGGAUUCAUUCAGUGACUGUCAAGGCAGCUGCUCUCUGUGUCCCAGCUCUCUGGCUGGGAUACAGGGGGCAGGAACUGGUGCAUUAGAGGGAACAGCUCCACGUCCGUAUAGUUCUGGAAAAGAGCACCCAGGCGGUUCACCCGCAUGCACACUUCUCGACCCUGCAACCUGCCAGCACCUGGCACACGCCAUCAAAAUGUGCAACAAAGGACAUGAGAUGGGACCUGUUUAUUUUGUUGCACGUGGCACCAGUUUGCUUAGUGUGAUGUGCUCCAGUCUGCUCAUUUGGGGACCAGGUUUUGGGAUGAGGGGGAGUUUGUGCUGUCACACAAACAACGAAUGAAUCUCCCACAUGCAAUUCAUGCUGCCUCCUCCCCCCCGCCCGCACACCCCGAAUGCCAGGUGCAGCCGGCCCCAUAAGUCUGGCUGCCCCAACAAAUUGGUAAAGCAGCUUCUAGUGGAUUCUGGCUGAUUCUGGCUACGCAUCUGUGACGAACUGGGACUGUUCUUACUGUGGUCUUUGAAUGCUGACAGGGGAGUGUGGCUAGGAUAGUCUGCAUUGGGGGAUGGGAGACUGACCGGAGAAUACCUGAGCAUGGAACAUGAGAACCCAGGAAGGGGUUAGAGGCCAGGUGACACCUUUGCCCAGGAAACUGAACAAAGGCUGUGGGAGGGGUUGCUGAAGGGAGAGUUUCAGGAGCUGGCUGGUGGAAUGGCUGGGAGGCAGACAGGGCUCGGAACUCCCAAGGGGGCUGGGGUGCCCGAGGACCCCAAGAUGGACCUAACUGAGGGGGUCCUGUUUUCUGUGCCUGCGGGACCUGUCUUGAACUGUGUCCCUGUCAUCUAAAUAAACCUUCUGCUUUAC